This 394-nucleotide ribosomal RNA is filed under the name uncultured bacterium. RNAcentral describes it as "partial 16S ribosomal RNA". It matches the Rfam family "Bacterial small subunit ribosomal RNA", at positions 523 to 918 of the family's 1533-position model. The record is from RNAcentral.
AUACGUAGGGGGCAAGCGUUAUCCGGAUUUACUGGGUGUAAAGGGAGCGCAGACGGCGAUGCAAGUCUGAAGUGAAAUGCCGCAGCUCAACUGCGGAAUUGCUUUGGAAACUGUGUGGCUAGAGUAUCGGAGGGGUAAGCGGAAUUCCUAGUGUAGGGGUGAAAUGCGUAGAUAUUAGGAAGAACACCGAUAGCGGAGGCAGCCUUCCGGCCCGUCAACGACGCUCAUGCUCGAAGGUGCAGGUAUCAAACAGGAUUAGAUACCCUGGUAGUCCGCACAGUAAACGAUGGACACCCGCGGUUUGGCCUGUAUGGCUGAGCCGCCAAGCGAAAGCGUUAAGUGUCCCACCUGGGGAGUACGCCGGCAACGGUGAAACUCAAAUGAAUUGGCGGGG